Molecule: transfer RNA, 75 nt
Filed under: Sphaerodactylus townsendi
Lineage: Eukaryota; Metazoa; Chordata; Lepidosauria; Squamata; Sphaerodactylidae
Description: tRNA-Ala
Rfam family: tRNA
About the family: Transfer RNA (tRNA) molecules are approximately 80 nucleotides in length. Their secondary structure includes four short double-helical elements and three loops (D, anti-codon, and T loops).
Source: RNAcentral
GGAUGGGCUGCAGCUCAGUGAAAGAGCAUCUGCAUUGCAUGCAGAACGUCCCAGGUUCAACCCCUGGCAGCUCCA